This 400-nucleotide ribosomal RNA is filed under the name uncultured bacterium. Its description in RNAcentral is "bacterial SSU rRNA". It matches the Rfam family "Bacterial small subunit ribosomal RNA", at positions 356 to 773 of the family's 1533-position model. The record is from RNAcentral.
GGGGAAUAUUGCACAAUGGGGGAAACCCUGAUGCAGCGACGCCGCGUGGAGGAUGACGGCCUUCGGGUUGUAAACUCCUUUUGUCAGGGACAAUGGUGAUGGUACCUGACGAAUAAGCCACGGCUAACUCUGUGCCAGCAGCCGCGGUAAGACAGAGGUGGCGAGCGUUGUUCGGAAUUACUGGGCUUAAAGGGCGCGUAGGCGGUGGUGUAAGUCUGGGGUGGAAUGCUACAGCUCAACUGUAGAGCUGCCUUGGAAACUGCAUUACUUGAGUCGGUGAGGGGAAGGCGGAAUUCCUGGUGUAGCGGUGAAAUGCGUAGAUAUCAGGAGGAAGGUCUGUGGCGAAGGCGGCCUUCUGGCACUUGACUGACGCUGAGGCGCGAAAGCGUGGGGAGCAAAC